GCUCCAGUGGCGCAAUCGGUCAGCGCGCGGUACUUAAAAUGCCGAGGUUGUGAGUUCGAGCCUCACCUGGAGCA
This is a non-coding RNA of Harpia harpyja (harpy eagle), 74 nucleotides long. The record is from the annotation of a RefSeq genome assembly. NCBI's taxonomy places the organism in Eukaryota, Metazoa, Chordata, Aves, Accipitriformes, Accipitridae.